Molecule: ribosomal RNA, 497 nt
Filed under: uncultured bacterium
Lineage: Bacteria
Description: partial 16S ribosomal RNA
Rfam family: Bacterial small subunit ribosomal RNA
Source: RNAcentral
GACGAACGCUGGCGGCGUGCCUAAUACAUGCAAGUUGAGCGAUGAAGAUUGGUGCUUGCACCAAUUUGAAGAGCAGCGAACGGGUGAGUAACGCGUGGGGAAUCUGCCUUUGAGCGGGGGACGACAUUUGGAAACGAAUGCUAAUACCGCAUAACAACUUUAAACAUAAGUUUUAAGUUUGAAAGAUGCAAUUGCAUCACUCAAAGAUGAUCCCGCGUUGUAUUAGCUAGUUGGUGAGGUAAAGGCUCACCAAGGCGAUGAUACAUAGCCGACCUGAGAGGGUGAUCGGCCACAUUGGGACUGAGACACGGCCCAAACUCCUACGGGAGGCAGCAGUAGGGAAUCUUCGGCAAUGGACGAAAGUCUGACCGAGCAACGCCGCGUGAGUGAAGAAGGUUUUCGGAUCGUAAAACUCUGUUGGUAGAGAAGAACGUUGGUGAGAGUGGAGAGCUCAUCAAGUGACGGUAACUACCCAGAAAGGGACGGCUAACUACGUG